Molecule: long non-coding RNA, 298 nt
Filed under: Elaeis guineensis (African oil palm)
Lineage: Eukaryota; Viridiplantae; Streptophyta; Magnoliopsida; Arecales; Arecaceae
Description: long non-coding RNA (EGUI_LNC013200)
Source: RNAcentral
CAAUAAAAAUGAAGGACAGAAGUGACAAUCACUAAGAACAAUAAUAUGAGAAUUGAAUACAAGCUUGAUAAUUUCUAAAUCUAAAACUAUAACUGAUCUUCCAUCUUCAACAUUCAAAAAUUUCUCACCAUCCUCAAAUCUUUUACUGACCUACAGUUCCUAUAACGAAUUGCAAAUAUUAAUAGGACUACUAGUAUCUAAUAUCCAGAUCAUAAUAUCACAAAUAAAGAAGUUGUAAGGUGUCAUCAUAUAAUUAUCUUGCCCAGCAACUGCUUGCUUCUUCUUAUUCAGCCUGUUC